RNAcentral lists this ribosomal RNA (877 nucleotides) under uncultured archaeon. Its description in RNAcentral is "bacterial SSU rRNA". It matches the Rfam family "Archaeal small subunit ribosomal RNA", at positions 1 to 879 of the family's 1478-position model. The record is from RNAcentral.
CUGCGGUCGAUCCCAAGUGCUUUGAGUUUAUCUAGAGCGACCUAAUCCCCGGGCGUCAACCUAACAAGCUGUCGCGCACGACUGAGUAGCACGUAAUCCACAUCCUCAGCGGAUGUGCAUAGCCUCGGGCAGCGGCGACCAAAGCAUGAUAUGUGAUCAGCUCCGGAAGCUUUCAUGACUAAAAUUUGUAUGCACUCUGGCAAGCACCGCGCCCCAUCAGUGGUCUGCAGAGGAUAAGCCGCUCCAACCCUGUAACCGGUACUGCCUCUGAGAUGAGGAGCCUGGAGAUUGGCAAUUAUACAAGGCCCCAGAUCUUAUGAGCAGCAGCAGGCGCGAAACCUCUGCAAUAGGCGAAAGCCAUACAGGGGUACUAAUAGUGACUUCCGACCACUAAAGUCUUUGGGAUCCUCGAAAAAGGGUGCAGACAUAAGGGGUGCACACGUUUGUGCGUCAGCCUCUGAGAUAAUCCCAACGCCUUUAGUGGUGAAAGUGACUCUGAGUCAUCAAGCCUCGCUAUCCGGUUUUGCAGAGGUUUCGGUCAAACUCCGCUCCAUAGAGCAUGGGCCCUGGUGUCAGCUACAGAUGUUCGGAGUCAUCAUAUCAGAGCCCUUUCCAGUGGGCAGGUGUAAAAUCCCAUUAUCCAUCCAACACCAUCAUCGGCGACGGUGCCAUCCCGGAACCCUCUAGAUGUUGAUCGAGGAACGUUGCGGGAGCAAUCCCGAUUAGCUACCCGGGUACUGCCACCUGUGAUCAUCCCAGUCUUGGUGACGAGUUGGCUUCUUGCCAACUACACCGCGCCACAGAAACCGUUAAGUUACUCGCCAUGGGGAGUAUCGCUACCAAGAUCGCAAUCUGAAUCCAAUGGGCUCAGCCGCAC